GGCCGGUUAGCACAAUUGGUAGUGUGUCUGACUACGAUUCAUCGGUAAUCAGGAGGUUGCGGGUUCGAGCCCCGUGCUGGUCA
RNAcentral lists this transfer RNA (83 nucleotides) under Malassezia cuniculi. Its description in RNAcentral is "tRNA-Arg". It matches the Rfam family "tRNA". From Rfam's summary of the family: Transfer RNA (tRNA) molecules are approximately 80 nucleotides in length. Their secondary structure includes four short double-helical elements and three loops (D, anti-codon, and T loops). Lineage: Eukaryota; Fungi; Basidiomycota; Malasseziomycetes; Malasseziales; Malasseziaceae. The record is from RNAcentral.